GACGAACGCUGGCGGCGUGCUUAACACAUGCAAGUCGAACGGAAAGGCCCUGCUUGCAGGGUACUCGAGUGGCGAACGGGUGAGUAACACGUGGGUGAUCUGCCCUGCACUUCGGGAUAAGCCUGGGAAACUGGGUCUAAUACCGGAUAGGAGCCAUUUUUAGUGUGAUGGUUGGAAAGUUUUUUCGGUGUGGGAUGAGCUCGCGGCCUAUCAGCUUGUUGGUGGGUUAAUGGCCUACCAAGGCGCCGACGGGUAGCCGGCCUGAGAGGGUGGACGGCCACAUUGGGACUGAGAUACGGCCCAGACUCCUACGGGAGGCAGCAGUGGGGAAUAUUGCACAAUGGGCGCAAGCCUGAUGCAGCGACGCCGCGUGGGGGAUGACGGCCUUCGGGUUGUAAACUCCUUUCGCUAGGGACGAAGCUUUUUGUGACGGUACCUAGAUAAGAAGCACCGGCUAACUACGUG
This 465-nucleotide ribosomal RNA is filed under the name uncultured bacterium. Its description in RNAcentral is "partial 16S ribosomal RNA". It matches the Rfam family "Bacterial small subunit ribosomal RNA", at positions 28 to 507 of the family's 1533-position model. The record is from RNAcentral.